AGCAUUGGAGAGACCUCCUACAU
Molecule: non-coding RNA, 23 nt
Filed under: Arabidopsis thaliana (thale cress)
Lineage: Eukaryota; Viridiplantae; Streptophyta; Magnoliopsida; Brassicales; Brassicaceae
Source: RNAcentral